Molecule: transfer RNA, 60 nt
Filed under: Alectorobius amblus
Lineage: Eukaryota; Metazoa; Arthropoda; Arachnida; Ixodida; Argasidae
Description: tRNA-Leu
Source: RNAcentral
UCUAUUUUGGCAGAUUAAUUGCAUCAAAUUUAGAAUUUGAAUAUACUUUAGUAAAUAGAA